GGGGGAGUAUGGUUGCAAAGCUGAAACAAAGGACUUGAUGGAAGGGCACCACCAGAGUGGAGGCUGCAGCUUAAUUUGACUCAACAUGGGAAACCUCGCCUGGACACGGACAGGAUUGACAGAUUGAUAGCUCUUUCUCGAUUCUGUGGGUGGUGGUUCAUGGCUGUUCUUAGUUGGAGCGAUUUGUCUGGUUAAUUCUGAAAACGAAUGAGACUCUGGCAUGCUAAUUAGUUACAUGACCCCUAAGCGGUCGGUGUCCCCCAACUUCUCAGAGGGACAAGUGGCAUUCAGCCCCCCGAGACUGAGCAAUAACAGGUCUGUGAUGCCCUUAGAUGUCCGGGUCUGCACGUGUGCUACACUGACUGGCUCAGUGUGUGCCUACCCUAUGCUGGCAGGUGCGGGUAACCCAUUGAACCCCAUUCAUGAUGGGGAUUGGGGAUUGCAAUUAUUCCCCAUGAAGGAGGAAUUCCCAGGAAGUGCCGGUCAUAAGCUUGCAUUGAUUAAGUCCCUGCCCUUUGCACACACCACCCAUCGCUACUACCAAUUGGAUGGUUUAGUGAGUACCUUGGAUUGGCCCCGCCGGGGUCAGCCCAUGGCCCUGGCAGAGCACUAAGACAGUCGAACUUUAUCUAGAAGGAAGUAAAAGUCAUAACAAGGUUUCUGUAGGUGAACCUGCAGAAG
Molecule: non-coding RNA, 681 nt
Filed under: Pan troglodytes (chimpanzee)
Lineage: Eukaryota; Metazoa; Chordata; Mammalia; Primates; Hominidae
Description: Eukaryotic small subunit ribosomal RNA
Rfam family: Eukaryotic small subunit ribosomal RNA
Source: Rfam by way of RNAcentral